Molecule: long non-coding RNA, 615 nt
Organism: Lycium ferocissimum
Lineage: Eukaryota; Viridiplantae; Streptophyta; Magnoliopsida; Solanales; Solanaceae
Exons: 3
Source: RefSeq, a predicted model, not a curated record
GACUGUUCGAGGGGGUUUGUUUUAAGGAGUGAGUUUGCCAAGCUUAGCAAUGAGGUUAAAGCUUUCAAGGAUUUGGUCAAGACGACUUUUCAACAUUCAUUUGACAAAUCAGCUCAUGAGAUUUGCUAAAUAAAGACUGGCCUAAAAAUUCGGUGGUAGGACUCUUCUUAAUCACUUUCCAGUUCAGUAUCAGUGGAACUCUGUUAGCAACACAGAUUGCAAUAUCUGGAUUGACAUUGGAACAACACUCGUAUAUCCAGAUUUGCAAAGCCAGGGAUAACCCACCAGGGAUAACCCACCAAACCUAUGAAAGGUUUUGACACGAUACAAUUUUUUCCUAAUAGAUUUCAUCAAGUUUUUGAAAACAAAGUUUCCCCAUGAAAAAUCUUAUAUUCUCCGCUCUCAACUAAGUGAAAGUAUUGAUCGCUUAUGAAAAUCCUUUUGGUGACGGCAGAUAAUAGGAAUGUGUAAAUAAAGUAGAGAAUAGCAAUCUUUACAGCAUCUUCAUCUGAAAGCCACCUUUCCUUGGAAAAACAUUCCACAAGGUCAUUCUUAUCUACUUUGACUUUGCCUGGGAAAUAUGUUUGCUUUAGCCUGUUUGAAUCCUCAAAAAAA